UGGCGCUGGGUAACUCGAGUGGGAGGUCAAGGGUUGUCCGUUCUAUUUUGUUGAUUCUUUGAUUGUGAAACAGUCACGUUUAUGAAUUCCUUGCGGCGGAGAACAGCCGUUUCUUUGUGCGGAACUAUUUCGUUCAGUCUUCGAAGCUGCAGCGGUGGUACAAGCAUCUCUUAAGGAGAGAUGAACGUUCAGCAUGGAGGUUGUCGAGCUAUAUCAUAAGUUGAACGAAGGCCUAGGAUCGUACGCAUUUUCAAGAUGGAUCGGACAUUUUGUCGAAGAAUACCAAACGUCAAAUGUAUUGAUCGUAGUAAUUCUCAGUGUCAUACUCAUUGUAUUGAUUGCAUCGGUCUUUGUUAUGCGGAAAUGGAAGAACAAAGAAUUUCUCCCAGAAGUCAAAGAAUUUGUCGGAGUUGGAAGUGGCAAACCAAGAUUCAGAAAAAGGGACAAAGUUCUGUUUUAUGGCAGAAAAAUGCUGCGCAAAGUAAAAUCAAUAAGCGGGCAAGUGCACGGAACUGGUCAAGGCAAGAAACGGAGAGCAGUAAUGCGGUUUGCUCGACGAUUGCUGCAGCUGAGGAAAGAAUCUGCUCCUCAACAACUCAAGGUUUUAGAACCACCUGCCGAAUACCUUGAAGAAGAUUUAAGACCAGGAGAGAGAGUACCACCAGAUGCAUUAUAUAUGCUUCAAAGUAUCAGAGUGUUUGGACAUUUUGAGAAACCUGUAUUUCUUAAACUUUGCAAGCAUACUGAAAUUAUCGAUUUACCAGCUGGGAGCAAUUUAUUUAAAAUUGGUGACCCAGAUGAGAAUUUGUUUAUAGUACAGCAGGGUUUGGUAAAUGUGUUCAUAACAGGAUCGGAUGGAUCUCAAAUUCCCUUAAAGUUAGUUAAAACUGGAGAGUCAGUUACUAGUCUUCUUAGUUUUACCGAUGUACUGACUGGUCAUACGAGUAUAUAUAAAACUGUUUCUGCAAGAGCUGUAGAAGAUUCUGUUGUCGUUAAAUUACCAAUGCAUGCCUUUCAAGAGGUGUUUCAAGAUCAUCCAGAUGCAUUCAUUCGAGUUAUCCAGGUCAUUAUGGUUCGCCUUCAGCGUGUAACCUUUACUGCAUUACAUCAAUACCUUGGACUUUCUGCAGAGUUGGUUAACCAGGGAAUGUCCAAAAAGAAGCACAGUCCAUUCUCUGGUUCUCCAGUCAGAUCAAGAACAAAAGAGAAUUUUGCAGCUCAAAAUUCAGACAAUAUGUCUACUAUUUAUGGAGGAUUUGACCAACGUGAAGGAAGCGAUAUGCAACAUCGAGAAUCUUCGUUCGUUACUGGUUCACAACCUAUACCAAUUACAAUCAAUAGAAGAUCAAAAAAUUCAUUUGACUGGAAAUGUCAAAACACAAGUCCACAUUUGUGCCAGAAUGCGCCAGAUAUGGUUCCUGAGUGUGAUUCUCAUUGGCCAUAUCCAACAGCAAUGAACUUACAGCAAUCUUUGCACAGUGAGCCACCAGAUAUUACAUCUUCUGGAAGUACAUAUGUCAGGAAGCGAUCCACUAAUGAGGGACUUCAACAACAGCAACUUGACGAAGCUCAGUUUGUUCAGAUAGCUACGGAAGCAUUCGUUAGAGAGCUUGGUUUGGAAGAUGAAUCUGUGCUUAAGGAUGGUAAAGUCCAAAUUAGAGAAGUACCUGCAGGGACUUACCUUAUGAAGGAAGAAUCACAUAAGGAUGUGGCAUUAGUUUAUGUUGUCUCAGGUUCUUUGACAAUCAGUCAAAGAGUAGCUGAAGGACGCGAUGCAGGCCAAGAAGUGCACAUGUUUAGUGCGCACCAAGGAGAAAUAGUUGGUGGUUUAGCGGUACUAACUGGCGAACCAUCUUUUUAUACAAUUCGAGCAAAGAAUGCUAGUCGAAUAGCAUUGUUGUCUAAAUCUACAUUUUUUGCUCUUAUGAGAGAACAACCUACCAUUGUUUUACACGUUGCCAAUACAGUAGUUCGGAGACUGAGUCCUUUUGUUAGGCAGGUGGACUUUGCCUUGGACUGGCUAUUUCUUGAAAGUGGCCGAGCUGUAUACCGUCAAGGAGACGAGUCUGAUUCAACAUUUAUCGUUCUCAGUGGUCGACUAAGGUCAGUCAUCACACAAACGAACGGAAAAAAAGAAUUAGUUGCAGAAUAUGGCAAAGGAGACUUAGUAGGCAUCGUGGAGAUGGUUACUCAAACUCCUAGAUCCACGACAGUUAUGGCUGUACGAGAUUCUGAAUUAGCAAAGCUACCAGAGGGUCUUUUCAAUGUCAUCAAGCUAAGAUAUCCUAUAGUAGUUACAAGAUUAAUCAACUUGCUUGGUCAUCGUAUUCUUGGCACGUGGCAACAAAUGAAUGUAAAAACUGGUGUCAAUAGUCCACAACGAACUGCAACAACGGUCGAUGCAAGGCCGGCACAAGUGAAUUUUUCUACAGUAGCAAUAGUCCCUGUAUCGGAAGACGUUCCUUUGACAGCGUUUACAUACGAACUGUAUCACUCACUAUGUGCAAUUGGACCAUGUUUACGUCUUACUUCAGAUGUUAUCCGAAAGACGUUAGGGACAACGAUCAUGGAACCUGUAAAUGAAUAUCGAUUGACAUCAUGGCUCGCACAACAAGAAGAUCAACACAGAAUUUCACUGUAUCAAUGCGAUUCUAGUUACACAGUAUGGACGCAAAGAUGUGUACGACAGGCAGAUUGUAUUCUAAUAGUAGGCCUUGGUGAUCGACCGCCUACUUUAGGGCGGACAGAGCGAGAAGUAGAAAGAUUAGCUAUGCGAACUCAAAAAGAACUUGUAUUGUUGCACAAAGAACAGAGUGGUCAACGGCCUACCAAUACCGUCCAGUGGUUAAAUAUGAGAUCUUGGAUCUCUAGUCACCAUCACAUACAAUGCCCCAAACGUAUGUUCACCAGGAGAUCCCAAUAUCGUAUUAAUGAAUUAUAUUCCAAAGUGCUCAUGUCGGAACCCAAUGUACACAGUGACUUUAGCCGGCUAGCUCGUUGGCUCACCGGUACUUCUGUAGGUUUAGUUCUCGGUGGAGGUGGAGCCAGAGGAGCGGCGCAUAUAGGGAUGUUAAAAGCAAUUCUUGAAGCUGGAAUUCCUAUCGACAUGGUUGGAGGCGUUAGUAUAGGGGCAUUUAUGGGAGCUUUGUGGUGUAUGGAGAAAAACAUCACGACGACUACUCAGAAGGCCCGAGAAUGGUCAAAGAAAAUGACGCAGUGGUGGAGACAGAUCCUAGAUCUAACAUAUCCAAUGACUUCUAUGUUCUCUGGUAAAGAUUUCAAUAAGACUAUUCAAGCUACAUUUGGAGAUACGUACAUCGAGGAUCUUUGGCUUCCAUUUUUUACAAUUACGACAGAUAUUACUGCCUCUUCCAUGCGAACGCACACACACGGAUCACUGUGGCGGUACAUUCGGGGUUCGAUGUCAUUGUCUGGGUAUAUGCCUCCCAUGUGCGACCCAAUCGAUGGCCAUCUUCUUCUCGACGGCGGGUACGUCAAUAACCUUCCAGCGUUCAAGCUCACUCCCGUUGCUGAAAGAUGCAUCGUUGAGAUGUUGAACGGUUCAGUUUACUCGACUCAGGCUUGCUAUGGAGAUAUCUUCGAUCCAGUAUGACGAUAGCGGGCGUUUUCCCUCCCGUUUGCGAUCCUCUCGAUGGACAUCUUUUGGUCGACGGGUGUUACGUAAAUAAUGUCCCAGCUGACGAGAUGUUGAGACAAGGAGCUUACCAUAUAUUGGCCAUCGACGUAGGAUCCCAGGAUGACACCGACCUGACGAAUUACGGGGAUUCACUUUCCGGCUGGUGGUUACUUUGGAAACGUUGGAAUCCUUUUGCAAC
RNAcentral lists this unclassified non-coding RNA (3836 nucleotides) under Orussus abietinus. RNAcentral's name for it is "neuropathy target esterase sws, transcript variant X5". Lineage: Eukaryota; Metazoa; Arthropoda; Insecta; Hymenoptera; Orussidae. The record is from RNAcentral.